CUCCCAAACCCCUGUGAACAUACCUUAUGUUGCCUCGGCGGAUCAGCCCGCGCCCCGUAAAAAGGGACGGCCCGCCGCAUGAACCCUAAACUCGGUUUUUAGUGGAACUUCUGUGUAUAAAAAACAAAUAAAUCAAAACUUUCAACAACGGAUCUCUCGGUUCUGGCAUCGAUGAAGAACGCAGCAAAAUGCGAUAAGUAAUAUGAAUUGCAGAAUUCAGUGAAUCAUCGAAUCUUUGAACGCACAUUGCGCCCGCCAGUAUUCUGGCGGGCAUGCCUGUUCGAGCGUCAUUUCAACCCUCAAGCCCAGCUUGGUGUUGGGCGCUGCAGUCCUGCUGCACUCCCCAAAUACAUUGGCGGUCACGUCGAGCUUCCAUAGCGUAGUAAUUUACACAUCGUUACUGGUAAUCGUCGCGGCCACGCCGUUAAACCCCAACUUCUGAAUGUUGACCUCGGAUCAGGUAGGAAUACCCGCUGAACUUAAGCAUAUC
RNAcentral lists this ribosomal RNA (490 nucleotides) under Fusarium graminearum. Its description in RNAcentral is "eukaryotic LSU rRNA". The stretch from base 137 to 290 matches the Rfam family "5.8S ribosomal RNA". Lineage: Eukaryota; Fungi; Ascomycota; Sordariomycetes; Hypocreales; Nectriaceae. The record is from RNAcentral.